This is a long non-coding RNA of Piliocolobus tephrosceles (Ugandan red Colobus), 1512 nucleotides long. Lineage: Eukaryota; Metazoa; Chordata; Mammalia; Primates; Cercopithecidae. The record is from Ensembl.
GAUUUUUUUUUUUUUUUUUUUUCUCAAUUCUUGUACUAAAAACGAUAUUGUUUUGUUAUGCACUUAUUCUUAUACAUAUAAUAUACACAUAUUUAAAUAUGUAUAUAUAUAUGUAUGUAUAUGUAUUUAUAUGUAUGUAUAUGUAUUUAUAUGUAUGUAUAUGUAUUUAUAUGUAUGUAUAUGUAUGUAUAUAUAUGUAUAUGAUUGGUCAAAAAAAAAAAAAAAAAAAGGAUCUUUUUUUUUCUUAUAACUUAUUAAAAAAAAAAAAAAAAAAAUAAAAUAGUCAGUAAACAAAGAAUAAAUAUUUAAGAAAUGAUUAUCAAAUAGAUAAAAAUAAAUAAAUAAAUAAAUAAACAAAUAAAUAAAUAAGUAAACUGAAACAAUGAUUUUGAACACUUCAACGGAUUUUGUGAUUAUUCAUGUAUUUGUUAAAGCGAUAUGAAUAAAAUAAAUUCUACGUUAAAUCAUAUGCAGUUAGUUAAUGAAAAUCUGAAAAAAUUAUUCUUAACACAACAAGAUUUUAAUGAUCAUGAUUCUUAUCUGUUGGUAAAUUUUUCAUAAAAAAAAAAUUGUGACAAAAGUGUAACUGCAUAAAUGUAAAUAGUGUGUGAAUGUAUGUACGUACGUGCCUGCGUAUAUAUAUACGCUUGUGUGCCUAUUUCAUGUGCAUCAUACAUAGUAUAACUUAAACAGAUCAUUUCUUUUAUCUUUUUUCCAUAAAAAAAAAAAAAAAAAAAAAAAAAAAAAAAAAAAAAAAAAAAAACCUAUGUGCAUUCAUUCUUAUAUUUACAGUUCCGAGGCAAAGUAUCAAAAAGAAUUGUCUAUUAUGCAUCUUUAAUUUCACAAUGUAAUAAUAACAUAUCUGUUUGUGAAAAUGCAGAUGAAAGUGUAGAUGAAUAUGUUAAGGAAAAACUUGAAUACCAUAUAAAAACUCUUAGAAACUAUAAAAGGGAACUAAGUAAAUGGUGGAUGGAACAUAAAAAGAAUUAUUAUCGUUUAUGUGUACAUAAUAUUUUAGAUAAAAAAAAAUGUGAGAGCCAUGAUACUAUAAAAACAAGUGGCACAGAUGUAAAUGACUUACAUUUAAAAGACACGAAAAAUAUGAUGAUAAAUGAAAUUAACAGAAUGAAAAAUGCAAAAUCACAAUUAUUAGAAUCUUCUCACAUAUUAAAAAAACAAGACAAAAUAUUUACUAUGUUCGAGUCAAGGUUAAAAUCAAGUGCACAACUUAUAUUAUCUAUAAGAAAAAAAGCAGAAAAAGACUCGAAAUAUGUUUGGUACUCUUUUUUUUUCUUUCUUAUUAAACUUUUAUUUUUCGCCAUAUUCUAUUUAUUAAAAUUUUGUAUCCGAGUGUUUUAUUUAUUUAAAACGAAAAAUAAAGAAAAUGAUUUUAGUACAAGCGCGGAUAUUUCGAAAAGUGUCACGUCAUAAUCGUUUAAGUAACUAGUGAAUUUUGAAAAAAAAAAAACAGACAUAAACAAACGUAAACAAACGAAAGCAAACAAAAACAAA